Molecule: microRNA precursor, 107 nt
Filed under: Marmota monax (woodchuck)
Lineage: Eukaryota; Metazoa; Chordata; Mammalia; Rodentia; Sciuridae
Source: RNAcentral
AGUGGGAUAGCUGGGUCAAAUGGUGGUUCCAUUCCAAAUUUUCUGAGGAAUCUCCAUACUGCUUUCCAGAGUAGUUAGUUGCACCAAUUUGCAGUCCCACCAGCAAU